UGGACUGUUGUCGCUCGUCUUCACGGUGUAACGGGUGUUUGGUGGUUAAUUUAGAGCUUUCAGGGAAAAGUAAAGUAGUCGUUCAAUGCAGAAGGUGUUCUCCAACUUACGACGGAUGAAUCGUGUGUCAUAUAAAAUCUUGAAUGCGAGUGUCCACCAGGCCAGGAGUCAGGACCAUUUCGAUCGGAGGUAAGAGCUAUAUAUAAACACUAAACAAGCCACUAGUCAGUAAAUCAUAUCAUGUUUCUUGAGUAUUUUGAGAGAAAAUGAGUUGUUUUAUUUUACACAUAAAUGAAAUAGGUUUGGUAAUCAUAAUUCUCAUUAAUCUGUCAAUAGAUUUUUCUUGCAAUCGAGAAGGACGAUGUUGUUAUCAUCUGAUUAUAGGGGCCUAGAGGAGGUCAGAUUUGUCUGUGUCUGAUGCAGUGAUGGGUACAAACAUGGGUUCGAAACAUCAUGUUGUGACCGCAUCCCUUUUGUUAAGAUAGCAGAAGUACAAGUGAAGCAGUGACUUGAGACAGAUGAAUAGAUGCAGGCUGAAACAUCAAAAGUCUCCAGCACCAAAGACUAACAGUAACAAUGAGUUUGAAGGAUCAGUAUCCCCAGAAAGGAAACUCAUCUUCAUGUAUGAAAUUAAUGUUAUAAAUACUUUGUGACAGUGGGAAGAAGUUAAAUUCAGAACAUGGCAUGGCUCUCUAUAACUACAUCAGAGAUCAUUCCAGGUUAUAAAGCUAAAGAAAACAGUAAAGCAUAACUUCAAUCUACAGACUCUCAGAGGACUGUGACAAGAUGUACCCAUGAUAUCAGACAGGACAACCUUAAAAACUUUCAGUGCACUCAUCACUACGAGUGGAGAAUUGAAAAUUUCAAAUGACUUUUGUAUCAAUCCUUUUGUAUUUCAUCUGGCAACUUGCAGGUGUAAAAUGUUUGAAACAAUUUGGGUGUCCCAAAGGAAAUUCUAUGCCAGUUAACAGUUUCAAAAGCAGUUGAUGCAAGUCACUGGUCCACUGGCAUUGUAUAUGUCAUUGAAUGCAGAUGCCAUUUUAAGAACACUUUUCACAAGAAGCUUGAAAACAUCAGAUAGAAGUGAGCAUCCACAAGAAAAACAAAAGUGAAUACUUUCUUGAAUGUUGAUAAGGAUACAUAUCAUACCUGUAAACAUCUUUUAUGUACAUGUUUAAAUCUUAAUAUACUACCAAAUAUUCAAACUUUCUUUAUGUUGUUCUUGUGUAUAUUGAAAGUGUAUUAAAAUAAGUUUUGAAUAUUUUUCUUGUUAGGCUGAAGGAUAUUUAAUAAAAAUCAAGUUCAAAAAACAAAUUCAUUGGCGUCGGAAGCAAAUUGA
Molecule: long non-coding RNA, 1339 nt
Organism: Saccostrea cuccullata (small rock oyster)
Lineage: Eukaryota; Metazoa; Mollusca; Bivalvia; Ostreida; Ostreidae
Exons: 3
Source: RefSeq, a predicted model, not a curated record